Molecule: unclassified non-coding RNA, 315 nt
Filed under: plant metagenome
Description: partial contains 5.8S ribosomal RNA, internal transcribed spacer 2, and large subunit ribosomal RNA
Rfam family: 5.8S ribosomal RNA (bases 1-105)
Source: RNAcentral
GAAAUGCGAUAAGUAAUGCGAAUUGCAGAAUUCAGUGAAUCAUCGAAUCUUUGAACGCACAUUGCGCCCCCUGGCAUUCCGGGGGGCAUGCCUGUCCGAGCGUCAUUGCUGCCCUUCAAGCCCGGCUUGUGUGUUGGGUCGUCGUCCCCUCCGGGGGACGGGCCCGAAAGGCAGCGGCGGCACCGCGUCCGGUCCUCGAGCGUAUGGGGCUUUGUCACCCGCUCGAUAAGGACCGGCCGGGCGCCAGCCGGCGUCUCCAACCUUUUUUUCUCAGGUUGACCUCGGAUCAGGUAGGGAUACCCGCUGAACUUAAGC